RNAcentral lists this ribosomal RNA (253 nucleotides) under uncultured bacterium. RNAcentral's name for it is "partial 16S ribosomal RNA". It matches the Rfam family "Bacterial small subunit ribosomal RNA", at positions 524 to 776 of the family's 1533-position model. The record is from RNAcentral.
GACGUAGGGCGCGAGCGUUGUCCGGAUUUAUUGGGCGUAAAGAGCUCGUAGGCGGCUUGUUGCGUCGACUGUGAAAACCCGCGGCUUAACUGCGGGCUUGCAGUUGAUACGGGCAGGCUAGAGUUCGGUAGGGGAGACUGGAAUUCCUGGUGUAGCGGUGAAAUGCGCAGAUAUCAGGAGGAACACCGGUGGCGAAGGCGGGUCUCUGGGCCGAUACUGACGCUGAGGAGCGAAAGCGUGGGGAGCAAACGGG